Molecule: ribosomal RNA, 468 nt
Filed under: uncultured bacterium
Lineage: Bacteria
Description: partial 16S ribosomal RNA
Rfam family: Bacterial small subunit ribosomal RNA
Source: RNAcentral
GACGAACGCUGGCGGCGUGCUUAACACAUGCAAGUCGAACGGUAAGGCCCUGCUUUUGUGGGGUGCUCGAGUGGCGAACGGGUGAGUAACACGUGAGUAACCUGCCCUUGACUUUGGGAUAACUUCAGGAAACUGGGGCUAAUACCGGAUAGGAGCUCCUGCUGCAUGGUGGGGGUGGGAAAGUUUCGGCGGUUGGGGAUGGACUCGCGGCUUAUCAGCUUGUUGGUGGGGUAGUGGCUUACCAAGGCUUUGACGGGUAGCCGGCCUGAGAGGGUGACCGGCCACAUUGGGACUGAGAUGCGGCCCAGACUCCUACGGGAGGCAGCAGUGGGGAAUAUUGCACAAUGGGCGGAAGCCUGAUGCAGCAACGCCGCGUGCGGGAUGACGGCCUUCGGGUUGUAAACCGCUUUCGCCUGUGACGAAGCGUGAGUGACGGUAAUGGGUAAAGAAGCACCGGCUAACUACGUG